UGGGGAAUCUUGGACAAUGGGCGCAAGCCUGAUCCAGCCAUGCCGCGUGAGUGAUGAAGGCCCUAGGGUUGUAAAACUCUUUCGUGGGGGACGAUAAUGACGGUACCCCAAGAAGAAGCUCCGGCUAACUUCGUGCCAGCAGCCGCGGUAAUACGAAGGGGGCUAGCGUUGUUCGGAUUUACUGGGCGUAAAGCGCGUGUAGGCGGGCUGGAAAGUUGGGGGUGAAAUCCCGAGGCUCAACCUCGGAACUGCCUCCAAAACUUCCAGCCUGGACUCAAGUAGAGGCAAGUGGAAUUGCGAGUGUAGAGGUGAAAUUCGUAGAUAUUCGCAGGAACACCAGUGGCGAAGGCGACUUGCUGGACUUGUAGUGACGCUGAGACGCGAAAGCGUGGGGAGCAAACAGGAUUAGAUACCCUCGUAGUCCCUGAGCGGGCUGGCAAGGCGCAU
This 447-nucleotide ribosomal RNA is filed under the name uncultured bacterium. Its description in RNAcentral is "bacterial SSU rRNA". It matches the Rfam family "Bacterial small subunit ribosomal RNA", at positions 355 to 825 of the family's 1533-position model. The record is from RNAcentral.